AAUCAUUUUUCAUAUAAGCUCAUUAUGUGGAGAUCUCAUUAGGAAGAACUAAUUUUUGAGCAAAAGAAAGUCAUAAUUCAUUAGUAAGUAUAUUGUUUCUAUAGUAUAGACUGCAACAACAAUAUGUAGAUGAUGUGCAUGCUAAAAAUGAAUGAAUGCCUGCACCACCAUAAAAACAAAUGGUCCUUACAACUAAAUAGUUAAUGCAGAGAAAAUCAGCAUGUUAUGUAAAUGAGAUUCACCCUCUAAGCCAAUCCAACUGAUUACAUCUUACUAGUUUUGAAUAACAUAUAUCCCACGGUUAGCCUAGCUAGAUUUUAUUUUUUAUAAAGGUAGCAAUGUUGUUCGUUUCCUAGAGAGAAGAGUGCUUUCAAAAAUGUGGUGUAUGUACUCUGUUGAAUACACUUUUUGUUAAUGGGAGAAGGGAUUUUUCUUUAUUUUUCUCUUCUUCUACAUAAAGACCACUGUAUUUUUUCACUGUAGAGAAAGAUUUUAAAAAUGCAUAGCUUAGUGCAUUUGUAAUGCUAACAGAUGCAUAUCACACUUUUUUUCCUGUUACUAAAUAUGCACUACAUCUAACACAUUUAGUCUUCAAUCUCUAGAUACUUUGCUCCAGAUCAACAACAUUGAAAAAGUUGUUUAGAGAUUUGUUUUAAAGGGAAAUCUAAGGUUAGUUUUCAAGAAAAAGAGGUAACAGAUAAGGGUAGGGCUUGAAAAGGCUGAAGACUACCAACUGCAAAAAACGGUUAUUUCUUUUGCCCCUCAGCUCAUGUAUUAUACUGGAAGACUCUGGUAGAAGUACCACGUGGUAUAAUGUGGAUUGAUGCAUAAGCCAGAUCCUGAGAAAGGGGACCUCUGCUUGUAUGAUACUGAGAAAAUGUUUGAAGUGGUCUGCUGUCAACUUGCUCUGUUGGAUGAUAUCUCAAGACUCAGAAUUCAGUAACAUGCUUGACACAGGCAAGUAAACCCACUCUUCACAGCUCACUCUUGAAGAUAAACAACUACCAUGCUCAUAGAACACAG
This 1023-nucleotide long non-coding RNA is filed under the name Coturnix japonica (Japanese quail). RNAcentral's name for it is "lncRNA (ENSCJPG00005010369.1)". Lineage: Eukaryota; Metazoa; Chordata; Aves; Galliformes; Phasianidae. The record is from RNAcentral.